GAGGGUGUUGCUCAGUAGUACAGCACAUGCUUCACAUGUAUGAGAUUCUGGGUUCCAUCCCUGGCAGCUCUA
RNAcentral lists this transfer RNA (72 nucleotides) under Lepisosteus oculatus (spotted gar). It matches the Rfam family "tRNA". From Rfam's summary of the family: Transfer RNA (tRNA) molecules are approximately 80 nucleotides in length. Their secondary structure includes four short double-helical elements and three loops (D, anti-codon, and T loops). The record is from Rfam by way of RNAcentral. Lineage: Eukaryota; Metazoa; Chordata; Actinopteri; Semionotiformes; Lepisosteidae.